RNAcentral lists this long non-coding RNA (1353 nucleotides) under Citrus x clementina. RNAcentral describes it as "Citrus clementina (C. clementina) long non-coding RNA (CCLE_LNC003487)". Lineage: Eukaryota; Viridiplantae; Streptophyta; Magnoliopsida; Sapindales; Rutaceae. The record is from RNAcentral.
AUUAUAAAAUAGGAUGAAAUUACUUGAACAAGAAAAAAUAAAUUCUCUAAUAAUAACAACACAAUUUCAAAGUGGAUAAAUAUUUCACAUUUGAUUAGCUAAGCAAAGAUUACAAAAUGUCUCCAGAUGAUAUCGUUAUAAUAAUAAGUAGGGGUCCGGCUCCGGCGAGGGUAAAAAAAAAAAAAUCACGAGGGGGGAGACCAUUUCUGAUUGGCCAAUAAUUUCACAAAUCCCAAAGAAAACAUAUUAAAAAAUAAAAGCAUUCUCUGUCAAGAAAAGUUUAAAAAAAUAUGAAAAAGUAAAAGCUAUUUUGACCUUUUUUUUUUUAAUUCUCCUUUAAAAAGAGAUUUUGUUGUAGUGUGUCAAAAACACACACAGAGAAUUAUAACUCCAAGUUACUCAGCAGCUUUGAUAAUUUGGAACAAAUAAAAGGGCGACACGUGGAUGGUUGAUUUGAACAGCAGUAUCUCGGAUAAAUGCUUUUCUAAUCCUUUAAGCAGCGCCCAGCCCCAGCAUUCAAAAUUCUGGUGCACGGUUAUUUGGUCCCCCCCUUUCAGUUCGGCUUCACGGCUUUCCCAUUCAAUUUAUUCUGCUUGUGAACUCCUUGUUAGGUGGCCGUUAGAUUUCGUGUGGAAGAGGAAAUUGCAAUUUAAAAAUGUCCCAAAUUCUAUUAUUAUUAUUAUUAUUUUUAAUUAGACAAACAAUUCUUAUUUAUUUCUAAUACUAUUUAAAAUACAUAUUUAAUAUGUAAUAUGAAGGUUGGUUAGGUUUCAUAGUUUACGAGCUUAAUAUUUAUUGAAUAAUUGAAAAAAUGAUAGGAGAAUAAUAUUAUAAUAGUAAGGUUAGUUUAGUAAUAGUCGAAUAUUCUUUCAUUUAAAAAGUAACAAUUUUCUUGCUAAGUGGUAGACCGGUAGUUCAUUAUCAUUGUUGUUCAAUUCUUUAUAGGAUAAUGAAUAAUGAUCUAUGUACAACUAUUGGUACAAUAUUUUUAUAAACAAAAAAAAAAGAAAAUAUUUUGUAGUAAUUUUUUUUUUCAAUCCUACCAUGAAUUUUUUUUUAUCUCGUAGUGAUAGUGUACUAACUAUAGAAUUUUCUAUAAUAAGAAUAUCGUUGUUGUAUUGUAUAUUUUCCCAUACAGAGAAAAUGAAAAGGCAAUUAUUCUUGACUAACCCGAUUUAUAAAUAAGCAUUAUUAGAUAUUAACAAAAUGAAGUUUUAUUUAUUUAGUGCAUGAGAGCAACACAUAAUCAUUAUAUACUUUUAUUCACGCAUCGGUUGUGAUAUAAUCUAAAUUGUCUUUUAAAUCUAUACACGAACCACUUUACUAAGCAUUAAUGAAAAUUGUUAUAUUAUU